This 542-nucleotide long non-coding RNA is filed under the name Homo sapiens (human). Its description in RNAcentral is "NR4A1 antisense RNA". Lineage: Eukaryota; Metazoa; Chordata; Mammalia; Primates; Hominidae. The record is from RNAcentral.
GCAGGAGGCUGGAAAGGCUGCCCAGGAAGGCGGGGCCCAUCCCUUCCUCCCAGCCCCGCUCCCACCUCAAGCUCUUUCUUCCUGUAUUUACAGCAGCACUGGGCUUAUUUACAGCACGGCGCUAUGUGUUAAAAACGGUUUAUCUUACAAAAAACAUAAAGGCCGGGGCCAGGCUGGGGGGGAUAAGACAAAUCGUGGGGUCACCCCCAUGAAGGCAUCCCCCUCCCCAAGGGCUUGAGCUCCCUGCAAACCUCCUGGAGCAGGUGAGAAGGUGGAGUCAUUCUGCAGCUCAAGCCCAGGCUUGGGGGUGCUCUGGGGGUCCGUGGACUAAAGGCACAUGGGGUGGCAUAUGAGAGUGCGCAUGUGCACACGUGUUCCCAGGCCCCUAAAACUGCUGCCCCUGACCACCCCUCAUGCUCUGCUGGCACUUCACAAAAGCGCAUUCACAUGUUGGCCAUUAGUAAGCAUCGUCACAAGUCUGAGAAGCAGUAACCCUCAUUAUCCUCAUACUCCAAGUGAGAACCCGAGGCCCAGGAGGCUAA